Molecule: ribosomal RNA, 467 nt
Filed under: uncultured bacterium
Lineage: Bacteria
Description: partial 16S ribosomal RNA
Rfam family: Bacterial small subunit ribosomal RNA
Source: RNAcentral
ACGAACGCUGGCGGCGUGCUUAACACAUGCAAGUCGCACGGAAAGGCCCUGCUUUUGUGGGGUGCUCGAGUGGCGAACGGGUGAGUAACACGUGAGUAACCUGCCCUUGACUUUGGGAUAACUUCAGGAAACUGGGGCUAAUACCGGAUAGGAGCUCCUGCUGCAUGGUGGGGGUUGGAAAGUUUCGGCGGUUGGGGAUGGACUCGCGGCUUAUCAGCUUGUUGGUGGGGUAGUGGCUUACCAAGGCUUUGACGGGUAGCCGGCCUGAGAGGGUGACCGGCCACAUUGGGACUGGGAUACGGCCCAGACUCCUACGGGAGGCAGCAGUGGGGAAUAUUGCACAAUGGGCGGAAGCCUGAUGCAGCAACGCCGCGUGCGGGAUGACGGCCUUCGGGUUGUAAACCGCUUUCGCCUGUGACGAAGCGUGAGUGACGGUAAUGGGUAAAGAAGCACCGGCUAACUACGUG